Molecule: transfer RNA, 67 nt
Filed under: Sphenacris crassicornis
Lineage: Eukaryota; Metazoa; Arthropoda; Insecta; Orthoptera; Pyrgomorphidae
Description: tRNA-Trp
Source: RNAcentral
AAGGACUUAAGUUAAAAAAAACUAAUAACCUUCAAAGUUAUAAUUAAGAGGAACCUUUUAGGCCUUA